Molecule: long non-coding RNA, 3111 nt
Organism: Oreochromis niloticus (Nile tilapia)
Lineage: Eukaryota; Metazoa; Chordata; Actinopteri; Cichliformes; Cichlidae
Exons: 3
Source: RefSeq, a predicted model, not a curated record
CCUAAUUGGGUUUUUUUGUUGUUGUUUUUUUUCAGACAUCCCUCCACACACACAGGCUCACAGAAAGAGUGGGUCAUCCUCAUUUUGGUCAAGAUUCUCUAUGGCAGGCUCAGCAACUGUAGCACUUGACUUGAAUGAGUAAGCAGCUGAUUUGCCAAAAAGCUGCAAAGUGUUUAUAGCAAGCCUCACCAGACAGCUUCAGUCCAUAUCGGAUGGAGUUAAGGCUCUGCAAGGACAUCCGAUUUCUAAAUUUGCUUUUUACCACACUCAUCUGGUUGAAUACUCUGUCAACUUCAGCAUUUGAGUGAGGCAAGGACAACACAGACACAGCAGCCAUGGCAAGUUCUUGAAACAGGUUGAUAUCAGCUGUAUCCCUGUACUUCCAAAUCUCACUCCAGUAGCCCAUUGUGUUUUUUGUCUCAUUCCAUUUCUUAAGAUGGAUGGUACGCCAUUGGUGAACAAUCUUAUGUAUCGCUUCAGGGAAGAAGCCAAGGAGUUUAGCAAGUUUUUCUAUUUCUCCAGGGCUCUUGUUGUGCUUUUAACUUUCCUCCACAUUGAAAACUGACAUGUACUGCAAUGCUUCGAUGUUGUCCGGCAAUCUCACCCUCAACUCAUUAGUGAGGGAUAUGGUGAAGGCUACCCACCGCUUUCUGACAUUUUUUUCAUCCUCAGGCGCAAGGUGCAACUCAGCUGCUUUCACCUCAAAAAGGUAACCAAGGUAUGGUUUGGAACUGAUGUAUCCCUCUAUUGGCUCUUUGAGUACAUCAACAUUUACCAGUGGAUUCAGCACCCUGCUGCUCACAGACUUGAUCAGGCUAACCAAGCUGUAAAGUAGUUUAAGAGGAUCUGCCUGUUCUCCCUCAAAAGCCCUGAUGAUGGUCUGGACCUCUCCCAGCACUGACUUCAGAAAAGUGUUAUACAAGAUUUUUGAGGAUCAUUGUUCAUGGAGUAUAAAACAUCAGCCACAUAGCAGCAUUCACUGGACUUGGUGACUGCAAAAUGCAGCCUAAGCUCAUCCCACAAUGCAGAGCCAACGUGUGGCACCCACCUUGAUUAUCUGUAAGGGUUUCUUCCCACAGUUGAUGCUCUCAUAAAUGGCCUCGUAGGCCUCCCCUCACUGUGGAGACACUGAGAACCUUCUAUUUGUCACUUUUUUCUGGCUCCCCUCACUUCUCACCAUUCCUAUUAUGACCAGAAAAGGCAAGGUUACAUGCAGUGUCUGCACACCAGAGGGGGCGGUGCUCAAUGUGGACGUGGUUGAAAACGAGGGCGGCACAUUCGACAUCUUUUACACAGCGCCACAGCCUGGCAAGUAUGUGAUCUGCGUCCACUUUGGAGGGGAGCACAUUCCUAACAGUCCUUUCCAAGUCACACUGAGUGAUCUGCAUUUAACCUUACGUGCCUACAUGCUUUGUUGACAACUAGAAUUUCAAGAAUAAAACUGAAUUUUCAGUCUCAGUCAAAGCAAUCAGGCAAACAGGCUCCAUCAGACCAGCCCAUGCAACAGAGCCAAAUGCCCCAGUACUACACUCAACAGCCCUGGGUAUCUAAAACCUCAGUCUCCAGUCUCUCAACCUUCUCAGCUCCAGUUUUUGUUCAGCUUCUCCCUGGUGUCCCUUUGUCAUCUAUAGCACACAUGCUCUCCUUUCAUCAGACUGCAUCAUUGUCUGCUGUCUCUCAUUGCAGGUGUUUCAUCACUGAGAGGGUGCUUUCUCUCAUUUCUCUCUCUCCAUGUCAAAGAGGGGAUGCCUGAAACACAUGGACAGUUCAUCAGCGCCGCAUAAUGUUAAAAAGCCACAAUCUUCUGAUGUUACAGGUCCAAAGCCUACUGUAUCAGUUGAGGUUUCCUUCAUAGUAUGGGACCAAAUUAUAUAUUUUAUGAACCAUUAUGUAGCCCUUCUGGACAGUGGUCCAUGUCAACCUGGCUUUAGAGGGGAAAAAUUUUGAAAAUCAUAAAUUUGGCCGUCCCAGCUGCUCCACGUUUUUCAAAAUGGCUUUGCAAUGUUUUGUCCCCAUCCUGCUCUUGUAGCUUGUCAGUACCAUCAUCCUGACCAUGAUCACCAUUGUCAUUCCAUCUUAGCGUCUCAUCGUCUGUUCAUUGUUGGUGUUUUCCUCUUCUAUCCCACACUGCGUUAAUUUAGUCUGUGAUAUGUUGUCACUGUAACCAGAACAACCAGGACAGAACCUGCACGGUGCCUUACCUGCCAGUGCUGCCACGAGACUACAGCAUCCUUGUUAAAUACAAUGACAAGCACAUCCCAGGCAGCCCCUUCUCUGCUAGGAUUACUGUGACGAUACCAUGAGGACGUACCAUCUGAAGGUGGGUUUAGCGGCAGAUAUUCCACUGGACAUAGGAGAGCUUGACCUCAGCCAGGGAACAGCCUCUCUUGCAACACACCUGCCUGCUGAAGAUGCUAUGUAACGCUCACGUUGGAAUCUCGUUUGUUCCCAAGGAGAUUGGCAAGUACCUUGUUAAGAUCAAGAAGAACGGUUGUCAUAUUCCCAGCAGCCCAAUUGCUGUUAUGAUUAAGCAGUCAGAGAUUGGUGAUGCAAGCCAUGUGCGUGUGAGUGGACCGGGGCUGAGCGAGGCCAGGACUUUUGAGCCUGCAGACUUCAUCAUUGACACUCGUGAUGCAGGUAUAUGCUCAGUGAAAGAAUAAAUCUAGAGAUGGCAAAAUACCAUUUUUUAUGUCCGAUACCGAUAUCAUAAAUUUGGAUAUUUCCUGGUCGGUACAGUGUUAUCCACGCAGAAGUUGAUAUAGUCUGUUAUGCAGGUUGUUAGACCUCCUACAGCAGCUGAGAUCCUUUGGGGUGAACAGGACUCUUUUAAGGACGUUCUACGACACUGUGGUGGUGUCUGCUAUCUUUUAUGCUGUGGUCUGCUGGAGUAGUGGAACGGCAGAGAGGGACGGGGAAACUUAACAAACUGGUCAAGAGGGCCAGCUCUGUCCUGGACUGUCUGCUGAAGUCCAUUGAGCAGAUUGGGGAGGAGAUCAUGUUGUCUAAGCUAACAUCCAUCAUGGACAACACUUCCCACCCCUGCAUGAGAAUCUACGAGCACUGAGCAGCUUGUUGUGCUGCUACUCACUUGGAGCUUGUUUGUUCACUGCC